This 445-nucleotide ribosomal RNA is filed under the name Delftia acidovorans. Its description in RNAcentral is "bacterial SSU rRNA". It matches the Rfam family "Bacterial small subunit ribosomal RNA", at positions 30 to 470 of the family's 1533-position model. The record is from RNAcentral. Lineage: Bacteria; Pseudomonadati; Pseudomonadota; Betaproteobacteria; Burkholderiales; Comamonadaceae.
AUUGAACGCUGGCGGCAUGCCUUACACAUGCAAGUCGAACGGUAACAGGUCUUCGGACGCUGACGAGUGGCGAACGGGUGAGUAAUACAUCGGAACGUGCCCAGUCGUGGGGGAUAACUACUCGAAAGAGUAGCUAAUACCGCAUACGAUCUGAGGAUGAAAGCGGGGGACCUUCGGGCCUCGCGCGAUUGGAGCGGCCGAUGGCAGAUUAGGUAGUUGGUGGGAUAAAAGCUUACCAAGCCGACGAUCUGUAGCUGGUCUGAGAGGACGACCAGCCACACUGGGACUGAGACACGGCCCAGACUCCUACGGGAGGCAGCAGUGGGGAAUUUUGGACAAUGGGCGAAAGCCUGAUCCAGCAAUGCCGCGUGCAGGAUGAAGGCCUUCGGGUUGUAAACUGCUUUUGUACGGAACGAAAAAGCUCCCUCUAAUACAAGGGGGCCCA